Triticum aestivum (bread wheat) is the source of this 140-nucleotide non-coding RNA. The record is from Rfam. Lineage: Eukaryota; Viridiplantae; Streptophyta; Magnoliopsida; Poales; Poaceae.
AAACUACUCCCUCCGUUCCAAAUUUUUUUUGUCUUAUAUUAGUCUAGAUACGGAUGUAUCUAAUACUAAAACGUGACUUGAUACAUCCAUAUUUAAAAGAAAUAUCUAAGACAAGAAUUUUGGGGCAGAGGGAGUAUUAU